GGGGACGUGGCGGAACGGCAGACGCUGCGGUCUCAAACACCGCUGAGGGAAACCUCGUGUGGGUUCGACUCCCACCGUCCCCA
This 83-nucleotide transfer RNA is filed under the name Thermoleophilia bacterium. RNAcentral describes it as "tRNA-Leu". It matches the Rfam family "tRNA". From Rfam's summary of the family: Transfer RNA (tRNA) molecules are approximately 80 nucleotides in length. Their secondary structure includes four short double-helical elements and three loops (D, anti-codon, and T loops). The record is from RNAcentral. Lineage: Bacteria; Bacillati; Actinomycetota; Thermoleophilia.